Molecule: unclassified non-coding RNA, 131 nt
Filed under: uncultured fungus
Lineage: Eukaryota; Fungi
Description: sequence contains ITS1, 5.8S rRNA gene
Source: RNAcentral
ACGAGAAAAAGGCGCUCGCGCCGCUCUCUCAAACCUUUGCGUACCCAAUCUUGUCUCUUGCGGGGGGUCCGCCCCCCGCGAGGAACCAAAACAGUCGUCUGAUGUUGUCAGAUCUCACAAAAAAAGAAAAA